UGACAGACUAAAACACUAGCAUUUUGUAAGGUACCGGACUUCUAAAACUAUGAAGUUACAGUGUACAUUUAAAUGGUUCCGGUGAGGUUGCGGUGGAAUGUAACAUACCGGAUAUUAAAUAUAAAAGUGAAAAUAAAUAAAAAUAGUAUGAGAUACUAUUUUUAUUGGAUUUAGAGAAGUGAAAUAUAAGUUGGGAAUGACCUGUGCUGAAAUCGGAGCGAAAACAGAAAAUUUAGAAUUUUCUGUAAGAAACGGGGCAGAUAAAUUAGCAGAAAAUGCAGUGUCAAAAAAUUAUGAAAAUUGGCGGAGAUGUCAGAAAUAUUUUUAUGAGGCUAGAUUUAAAGUUUCAUGCCAUUCUGCCACCCGGAAGGUGAAAAAUAGAAUCCGAAAGCUAUCUGAUAAAGAUUACAGUUUGGUACAGUUUUCGGUGACCAAACGAGGUCGAAACUGAAAUAUUAAAAUUUCUUUGGACUUAUUAAGUAAAAUCGAGCCUGCCUGUCAAAUUUGAGCUCAAACGGACAUUCAGAAGGGCUCCGGCAAAAAAUGUCAGUUUCUAAACUGCCCGAAGUGAAUAGUGCAUAGGUGAGGGACUAAGUUGUAAAAAGGGGUUUAAUCCCUUUUCUUCUCCUUCCUCAGCCGCAGCAGCCCCAAACCGCACACACACAUACGCAUACACACACGCAUGGAAGGGAGAGAGAAAACUUCCAUUUCUCUCUCUAAAUCUCUUCCAAAAUUAAAGAAAUUGGUGGAGAUUGAAGCUUGUAGGUGAAUCGUCUUCAUCUUCUUUAUCUUCUCUAUGGUUUGGAGCUAAUUUUGAGGUGAGCUUCUUGAGCCCUCUCAUGAUAGAUCUCUAGGAUUAGCUCUAUAUGCUAUAGAAAUGGAUUUAGUGGCAUUCUUAGAUGCUAAUUAGAUGUUUUAUUGCUUGAAUCCAAGGUUAUAUUGUGUAUUCUUGCAAUAGAUGAAACCUAGGGUUCAAAGUGCAAUUUUUGGAAAUAUGAGGGUUUGAUCUAAUUUGACCUUCCGUAAACCUAAUUGCUAGGUAAACGAACGCGUUGGCGAAGUCGGUUCGGCAAUUCGUCGAGCCGUUAUAGACUUAUGUUGGGGCACCGUGGCACAUAACCGAAGACCUUUAAUUUUCGGAUCGCAAAUCGGAGAUCGUUUGGGUGGUCGCGCGAGAGUUCGAGCCAAACCGGAUUGCGGGUGUCGCAGGCGGCCGAUUGCAAGUGAGUACAAGCAAUCGGAGAGUAAGUUAAGAUGGGUUGUGCUUACCGAAGCGACUAGGUCGCCGUUAUGUCUAAGAGAAUGUAAAUUCUUGUUGAUGCAUAGAUGUUUGUGCAUAUGAACAUAAUAGCAUUAUAGACUUAUGUUGACAAGUAUGAAAGCAUGCUAGAGAACAUGGAUAUAUGAAUAGAAGUUAACAUAUUGUUAAUCCUAUGAGUUAUGAGAUCAUGUUGGAUAAUGCUUAUUGACAUAAUGACAUAGUCUAGAAAUGCUAAAUGUAAUGUGCAUGUUAAUAUGAUAAGAAACCAUGCUAGUGAUAUUUGCAUGAUAAUGCAUUGAUAGUACAUGCUAGUAAGUAAAUGCAUAUUAAUACAUAUGUGUAUAAUGAGCAUGUUGGAUAAGAUUCGUGUACAUGUAGACUCGAGAUGACAAUAGGAUGUCAAGUAGAUCGAAUGGCACUUAACCUAGUGUUAAAGAACAUAGGUGGUGAAUGAAUCUAGGGUCAUGUGAACUAGAUCGAGUAGCAUCUAACCUAGUGUUAAAGAACAUAGGUUGAGAAUGAACCUUGAGUUAAUCGAAUCUAGGUGUGUGGUAUUAACCUAGUGUCGAGAACAUAGGUUGAGAAUUGAGCCUAGAGUUAAAGUAAACCUAGGAUACGUGAUAAAGGCAUUGAACCUAGAGUCAGUUGGACCUAGGGUGAAAAGGACACUGGACCUAGAUAGGCCGAUACUAUAGGGUUUCCUUGAGUCGUGAAAUGGAUUCCGGAAUCCCUAGUGAAGUGGCCGCAAAGGAAGCAGUGGCACUUGUGGUAAAAGAGAUGGCAAGCGAAUCAUAACUGCAGGUAUGUGUAGUUCUCCUCGCCUGGCAGUGAUUCAACGGGUAUGUGUGGUUCUCCUCGCCCGGAAUGCCAUAAGAAUAAGCUGGAAUUGGGUAUGUGUGGUUCUCCUCGCCCGGGAUGCCAUGAGAAUAAGCUGGAAUUGGGUAUGUGUGGUUCUCCUCGCCCAUUAGCUUAUCAGAUGAUGCCACCUAGAUUGACUUGAACCAUUGCUGGGUGAGAGCGAGUGGCCGCUGCCAGAUGACUAAGCCAAGAUUUGAGCCAUUGUUGGGUGUGAUGCGAUGAGUUCGCCGCCAGGUGGCUAAGUCAUGACUUGAGUCAUUGUUGGGUCGAUACGAUGAAUUUGCUGCCAGAUGGUUAAGUCAGAGGUGCGGUAGGCUGUGACGGCAGCCAGGCUGAGAUGCAGCCAGUGCGCGGACUAUCCGCGGACGAUUGACUCGAGGCCGAGUCGGGUGGUUAGCUUGAUUAGGUUAAUAGAAACCUUAUAAGCUAGUGAUAAAGGUAAGAACUAAAGUUAGCAAAGUAAAUGUAGAAUUAACAUAUCUACUAGUUGUUUAUACAGUUGCAUAGUUGCAUAAUAUUCCUGUUGCAUAUUGUGAGGCAAAGCAUGAUAUAUGUUAGUUGCAUUUAAAUUAUGAUUUCAUAUCUAUCUAUUGAACUAACGUGUUGUUGCCUCCUUGGACCAUUUGGUCGAGCUCCUCCCUUGGGUGGCCGUACCCACUGGGAACCAUGGAGUUGGUUCUCACCCCACGUUGUUUUGGGGUGUUUCAGGUUCGCACGUGAGCGGCGCGGCGGCGCGAGGAAAGGGCGUAGCUCCAUAGAUAGCGCCCUACCCAGAGACCAGCGAUAGCAAUACCCCAUCGACAUAGCCUAGGGGUUUGGAAAAUGAAAAGAAUACAAUGUAUCAAUUUGUAAUAAGCAAAUGAUGUAAUAACUUAAUUGCAUUUGGGAGUUGGAUGUAAAGUAAAUAUAUUAUUGUGAAUGCAUGUAAUAACAUAGGAUGUGUUAUGUUGUGAUACUUUCCUUAUGCAAUCAUGAUUGAUAUCUGUUCCUGGUUGGAACCCUUGUAAUGUUCAUUGUAUUGAUUGCGACGCCUAGAACGUACAGGGGAAACUCUGUCCGUUCGGCGGUCUGUCGACGCGCCCGAACUCGGCCAAAUAGGCGGGGCCCGAGGCGUGACACAUUUACUAUAUUAAUUAUGCAAUUAUGUGUUGUUAGGGGUCUUUUAUGCAAUUGCAGCAUAGGGGCUACCUCGGGCAGCGUGAUCCCACUGCUAGUGGACUUUCAAACUGGUUGUCCAAGGUUCGAUUGCUUUUAUGGAACGUAAUUAGGGUUCUGGUGCGGAUUGCAGCAAAAUCGCCGAUCGAAAAUUGAGGUUUU
RNAcentral lists this long non-coding RNA (3436 nucleotides) under Ananas comosus (pineapple). Its description in RNAcentral is "long non-coding RNA (ACOM_LNC003557)". Lineage: Eukaryota; Viridiplantae; Streptophyta; Magnoliopsida; Poales; Bromeliaceae. The record is from RNAcentral.